AUGUCCACCCAAACCCGAGAGAUUUCGCUCACAAAAAGAAAAAAACAAACCCGAGAGAUUCCCAGUCUGUGCAGGAACAAACCCCGGAUCGAGAAGUCGGCGGCGGCGGCGGCGGAAUCAGAGGACAUGUCGGCCAACUGCGAGAGGGAGCGGGAGGAGGCCAGGGAGCUCGCCAAGUACGAGGAGGACUGCAAGGAGUACAAGGUGACCCUGUACCUGCUCGCCAUGCUCAUCUCGAUGGCCUUGGCGGGCCUCAUCGCCGGCUUCCUCGUCCCGCGCACGCCCCAGUGGUACAGCCUCUACUGCUGGCAGACCGCUCUGGUCUUCUUCUUUUCCUUCGCGAUCCUCUUCGGGUUUCACACGCGGAAGUUCGGCUUGUCCGGUCUUCCCCGGAGGCCAGAUCCUGAGGCCCAACUUGGUGGUGGAGGAGGAGACGGCCGCUGA
RNAcentral lists this ribosomal RNA (444 nucleotides) under Triticum aestivum (bread wheat). Its description in RNAcentral is "partial small subunit ribosomal RNA". Lineage: Eukaryota; Viridiplantae; Streptophyta; Magnoliopsida; Poales; Poaceae. The record is from RNAcentral.